AGAACCUUAGAUUCGGCCGAUCAGAUCCGGGAGUGAGCGAUUGCGGCCAUUAAUGCUCUCCUCAGGUGAACUGUAGAAAACACCGAAUGCCUUUGUACAAACAUUUAAUGCUCUUUUGCCGUUGCCAUGCGAAUUCAAAACUUGGAUGGUCUUUUGUUGCAGCUUUUCAUUUAAUGGCCCUUUACUCCGACGGGAUGCGUUUUACCAACCGUUACCCUUCAUCUUUUCCCCCUAUAAGUAUGAGACCCC
Molecule: long non-coding RNA, 249 nt
Filed under: Setaria viridis
Lineage: Eukaryota; Viridiplantae; Streptophyta; Magnoliopsida; Poales; Poaceae
Description: long non-coding RNA (SVIR_LNC004287)
Source: RNAcentral